Molecule: ribosomal RNA, 665 nt
Filed under: uncultured Micromonosporaceae bacterium
Lineage: Bacteria; Bacillati; Actinomycetota; Actinomycetes; Micromonosporales; Micromonosporaceae
Description: bacterial SSU rRNA
Rfam family: Bacterial small subunit ribosomal RNA
Source: RNAcentral
CUUUGGGAUAACCCUCGGAAACGGGGGCUAAUACCGAAUAGGACUUCUGGCCGCAUGGCUGGUGGUGGAAAGUUUUUCGGCUUGGGAUGGGCUCGCGGCCUAUCAGCUUGUUGGUGGGGUGAUGGCCUACCAAGGCGACGACGGGUAGCCGGCCUGAGAGGGCGACCGGCCACACUGGAACUGAGACACGGCCCAGACUCCUACGGGAGGCAGCAGUGGGGAAUAUUGCACAAUGGGCGGAAGCCUGACGCAGCGACGCCGCGUGAGGGAUGACGGCCUUCGGGUUGUAAACCUCUUUCAGCAGGGACGAAGCGAGAGUGACGGUACCUGCAGAAGAAGCGCCGGCCAACUACGUGCCAGCAGCCGCGGUAAGACGUAGGGCGCGAGCGUUGUCCGGAUUUAUUGGGCGUAAAGAGCUCGUAGGCGGCUUGUCGCGUCGACCGUGAAAACUUGGGGCUCAACCCCAAGCCUGCGGUCGAUACGGGCAGGCUAGAGUUCGGUAGGGGAGACUGGAAUUCCUGGUGUAGCGGUGAAAUGCGCAGAUAUCAGGAGGAACACCGGUGGCGAAGGCGGGCCUCUGGGCCGAUACUGACGCUGAGGAGCGAAAGCGUGGGGAGCGAACAGGAUUAGAUACCCUGGUAGUCCACGCUGUAAACGUUGGGCGC